CCUACGGGCGGCAGCAGUGGGGAAUAUUGCACAAUGGGGGAAACCCUGAUGCAGCGACGCCGCGUGAGUGAAGAAGUAUUUCGGUAUGUAAAGCUCUAUCAGCAGGGAAGAAAAUGACGGUACCCGAUUAAGAAGCACCGGCUAACUACGUGCCAGCAGCCGCGGGAAUACGUAGGGGGCAAGCGUUAUCCGGAUUUACUGGGUGUAAAGGGAGCGUAGACGGCAGCACAAGUCUGGAGUGAAAUGCCGGGGCUUAACCCCGGAACUGCUUUGGAAACUGUGCAGCUAGAGUGCAGGAGAGGUAAGUGGAAUUCCGAGUGUAGCGGUGAAAUGCGUAGAUAUUAGGAGGAACACCAGUGGCGAAGGCGGCUUACUGGACUGUAACUGACGUUAAGGCACGAAAGCGUGGGGAGCAAACAGGAUUAGAUACCCUAGUAGUC
RNAcentral lists this ribosomal RNA (440 nucleotides) under uncultured bacterium. RNAcentral's name for it is "partial 16S ribosomal RNA". It matches the Rfam family "Bacterial small subunit ribosomal RNA", at positions 338 to 795 of the family's 1533-position model. The record is from RNAcentral.